CACCUUUGAAACAGAAGGAAAAUGAGAAACAAUUUGUGCAGAGAGAGAAGUUGGACUGCAAAGCAGUCUCAGCAAAGUCUCUGCAGAACUCUGAGGCUCCCUACCCAUAGGGAGACAGUCUGCCUGCCGGUCACCUCCUACUCAUCACUGGAAUCACAGACAGAACAAGUGGUGGCAACACUGGCCUGAAGAUUCCUGACAACGUAGGUCUGGCCGGGCUUGGAAGCGUCACCCAGCCCCAGGCCGAGGACCCGCCGCCAAGCGCCG
Long non-coding RNA from Cercocebus atys (sooty mangabey), 267 nucleotides. RefSeq lists it as uncharacterized. The transcript has 3 exons. NCBI's taxonomy places the organism in Eukaryota, Metazoa, Chordata, Mammalia, Primates, Cercopithecidae. The record is from RefSeq and is a predicted model, not a curated record.